Molecule: long non-coding RNA, 2352 nt
Organism: Strigops habroptila (Kakapo)
Lineage: Eukaryota; Metazoa; Chordata; Aves; Psittaciformes; Psittacidae
Source: Ensembl
UGAGAUUUUAAUUUUGCCUUUUAUUCACAGUUCUCGUAAUAAGUUACAUAAAAAUGAAGUAAGCCGCCUGGACUCCCACGAGGAGGCUCAGCAUUCAUUUUUCCAUGUUGCAGAUGUUAGACAGGAGGCACGGAGACACGCACAGACCCAUUUGGAGAAGCGCAGGCUGCACCCAGGGGGAGUCACAGGUCCUCAGGCACUCUGGGACUCUGCAGCUAGAGACCAGGUGUCAGCCACAGGCAGAAAUGGGGCAUCCAGGACCCAGACGUACAUUGAAUGCUUAGAUCCUGUGUCCCCAGGUCAGCGUGGCAGGCACCUGGGUCAGCGGUAGCUGCAGCAGCAGCUCGGGUAUGUGUGAGUCGGAUUUGCAUAGCAGAGGGCAGUGUUCAGCAUUUUGGACAACAGCUAGCUAGCCCUUGCUGAAGAACAUGAUGAGAAAUGAUGGGGAGGGGGCAAGGUGGGAACCGUGCAUCAAGAGGCAAAGCUGCAAGCAGAGCUAGCGUAUUUUGUCUGUGGCUGUGUGUAUACACCAAAGUAGGUUUAAGCUCCAUACCACUGUGACAGGUCUCAAUCUAGUCAAGCAAGGAGGAACUUGAAAACCAUAAAUUUCUCCUGGCUGGGCGAAGACUGAAAGCGGCCAGCCCGUGUUCAGUUCUGAGUACUGCAAGCACUUUGCUACUGAUACACCACCCACCCAACCUAACACAAACCCUGUUGUGUGGAUGACACAACUGGCCAUACCCACGAGGUGACACUUCAGCCAUCUGUUCAAGGACCUUGCUAGACCUACUCACACGAGAAGCUUGUGUUUAUGCUUCACAUGACAACGGAAAAAAACAUAUUGCUGCCUCCUUCUGGGUCACCUCAAAGGAGCGUCUGCCCUAGCUUACAGCUCACCUGGACACAGCAGUACCCUAUUGAAGAGGGGACAUGGCCCAUCGUGCCUGUGCCCACCCGUUGUGCCUGUCCCCUGCUCCCCGAAGCACCGGCCGGGCCCAAGCCCCGCAGCCACGUCGGAGCGAGCAGGAGAAGCCCCGGAGCCGGGCGAGGCACGCCCCGCAGCCCCGGGGAUGAUCUUCCCCGAGGAAACAAGGACUGUUCCGAACUGGCCGGCGUCGAGCGCGCUCGAAGGGGCAGCCGCAGUUGGGCCGCGCCCCGCCUUCACACCCCGGCGCACCCCCACAGCCUCCUGUGGCCCCGCGGCUCCCCGCCGUGAUUCUCGUUCCAGAGGGGGAGGACGGUGACCCCCACCCCAAAGACAAACCCGCCGCCGAAGGAAGGCGACAAGCCCCCUCCGGCUCGGGGGCCGGGGCGAGGCGGCGAGGCCUCGCACACCUCCGGGCCGGGCGGCGGCAGAGCCCCGCGGCCGCCCAGCGCCGCCACCGCCGCGGCUUCUCGGGCAACAGCUACCCCUAGCGGCCGGAGCGCGCUCCGCGCCCCGCCUCCGCCUCGGGACAGCGCCCGCCGGCCCGCGCCCACCUGACACCCCCCGGCCCGGGCCCGGGCCGCACGCCGCGAGACGACAGCGUGCCCGCGCGCCGGGCGAGCGGCCGCCGCCCGUCCCGCCGCCGCUGGGGGAGGAUGCGGGCGCAGCGCGUCCGCGGGUUCGAGCCCCGGGUGCCCCCGCGGCGGCGGGGCGUGCGGCGGGGCGGAGGCCGUGCCCAGGGGCCACUGGGCCGGCGGGGCGGGGAGGGAAGCACGGGGAGGGACACGGCGAGGGCGGCCCGUCCCUGUCACCUGCAGGCGGCUGCCGGGACGGCCCCGGACCCCGCUGCCGCUCCGGCGCGGCGCCAGCCCCGCGCUCCCACAGCCAGUGCGGGGAGAACCGGGGUCGCGGACUGCGCCUGUUGCACUGCCCUUGGCGGGGCUGUUUGCAAGCGCCUGCCGCUAUCUGCGACCGGGAACCCCGGCGGUGCCCUAUCUCGGAGUCUGUGCCUGUGCCCGAUAGCGGCUGCUCCCUGCUUUGUUGCACGUCCCUCGCAGCUCCCGCCGGGGCUCUCUCCCCUUUUGUCUGUGUAUUUUUAGGUCAUUAGAGUGGAGGGGUAGGUAAUCCCCAGGCUCAAGUUCCAGAGGGGCGGGUUCUGGCCGGAGGUGGAGUCACUUUUCAUUUAAAUCCCUGACUAUAAAAUGGGCUUAAAGAGAAGCGGGAUCUCAGCUGUGCUGCACAGACCCCAGCAAGCAGGGUGCGUGGAGACCCCCCCGGCAGCCAGCGCCCUGCAGCAUAAGCCGCUACGAUGCUCCACUCCCUUGGCGUUCACACCUUGCAGCUGCUCACCCAGGCGGCCGCCUGCAUCCUCCUCUUCCCCCGCUUCCUGCUCACCGCCGUGAUGCUCUGGCUCCUGGAUUUUCUGU